AGCUCCAAUAGCGUAUAUUAAAGUUGCUGCAGUUAAAAAGCUCGUAGUUGGAUUUGUGGCGUGGUCGUCCGGCGGGGCUCCUUCAUUGGGGCCGUUUGUCUGGUUCUUCGACCGCACCAUUCUCGGGUAGUGUGUCGCUGGCAUUAGGUUGUCGGCUUCUUCACGCCCGUCGUUUACUGUGAAAAAAUUAGAGUGUUCAAAGCAGGCUUAGGCCGUUGGAUACAUUAGCAUGGAAUAAUGAGAUAGGGCCACGACGGUCUAUUUUGUUGGUUUGCACGUUGUGGUAAUGAUUAACAGGAACGGUUGGGGGUAUUCGUAUUCAAUUGUCAGAGGUGAAAUUCUUGGAUUUAUGGAAGACGAACUACUGCGAAAGCAUUUACCAAGGAUGUUUUCAUUAAUC
RNAcentral lists this ribosomal RNA (400 nucleotides) under phytoplankton environmental sample. Its description in RNAcentral is "partial small subunit ribosomal RNA". It matches the Rfam family "Eukaryotic small subunit ribosomal RNA", at positions 587 to 978 of the family's 1831-position model. The record is from RNAcentral.